UACGUAGGUGGCAAGCGUUGUCCGGAUUUACUGGGCGUAAAGAGCGCGCAGGCGGUCGUUUAAGUCGAAUGUGAAAGCCCCCGGCUCAACUGGGGGAGGUCAUUCGAUACUGAUCGACUUGAAGGCAGGAGAGAGAAGUGGAAUUCCCGGUGUAGUGGUGAAAUGCGUAGAUAUCGGGAGGAACACCAGUGGCGAAGGCGGACUUCUUGGCCUGUUCUUGACGCUGAGGCGCGAAAGCUGGGGGAGCAACAGG
This 253-nucleotide ribosomal RNA is filed under the name uncultured bacterium. RNAcentral's name for it is "partial 16S ribosomal RNA". It matches the Rfam family "Bacterial small subunit ribosomal RNA", at positions 524 to 775 of the family's 1533-position model. The record is from RNAcentral.